Molecule: ribosomal RNA, 301 nt
Filed under: uncultured bacterium
Lineage: Bacteria
Description: partial 16S ribosomal RNA
Rfam family: Bacterial small subunit ribosomal RNA
Source: RNAcentral
CAGUAGCCACGGUAAUACGUAGGUGACAAGCGUUGUCCGGAAUUAUUGGGCGUAAAGGGAGCGCAGGCGGUUGGAAUAGUCUGAUGUGAAAGCCCACGGCUUAACCGUGGAAUUGCAUUGGAAACUGUCCAACUUGAAUGCAGAAGAGGAAAGCGGAAUUCCAUGUAUAGCGGUGAAAUGCGUAGAUAUAUGGAGGAACACCAGUGGCGAAGGCGGCUUUCCGGUCUGUGAUUGACGCUGAGGCUCGAAAGCGUGGGGAGCGAACAGGAUUAGAUACCCCAGUAGUCCCUGUCUCUUAUAC